Molecule: long non-coding RNA, 321 nt
Organism: Pogoniulus pusillus (Red-fronted tinkerbird)
Lineage: Eukaryota; Metazoa; Chordata; Aves; Piciformes; Lybiidae
Exons: 3
Source: RefSeq, a predicted model, not a curated record
AGUGGGAGUCUGACAGCAAGAUAUUGCCAAGCCAUUAGCUUUUCAAGAUGAUCAAGAGCAGUGACAUUUCCACAUUUUCAGAGCUCUCAACAAACACAGCUAAUUAAGUCUUGCAUCAUCACUGCAGCUAAACACAAGAACGCUUUCCCCAGAGCACAGCACUGGGCCAGUCUGCUGCUGGGUGUAGCAAAACCAGCGAGUGCAAGUCAGAGGCUGGAAGGUGGCGGAAAUAAACAGUACACAGGAAAUUUUGGAAGAGUGGUUAACAAACUUAGUAGCAAGCCAUGAGUUCCUGUUUUUACUUUAAUAAAGUAAUAUAUG